GGGGAAUUUUCCGCAAUGGGCGCAAGUCUGACGGAGCAACGCCGCGUGAGUGACGAAGGUUUUCGGAUCGUAAAACUCUGUUGUGAGGGAAGAACAACAUGCCAACUAACUACUGGUACCUUGACGGUACCUCACCAGAAAGCCACGGCUAACUACGUGCCAGCAGCCGCGGUAAUACGUAGGUGGCAAGCGUUGUCCGGAAUUAUUGGGCGUAAAGCGCGCGCAGGCGGUCCCUUAAGUCUGAUGUGAAAGCCCACGGCUCAACCGUGGAGGGUCAUUGGAAACUGGGGGACUUGAGUGCAGAAGAGGAAAGUGGAAUUCCACGUGUAGCGGUGAAAUGCGUAGAGAUGUGGAGGAACACCAGUGGCGAAGGCGACUCUCUGGUCUGUAACUGACGCUGAGGCUCGAAAGCGUGGGGAGCAAACAGGAUUAGAUACCCUGGUAGUC
This 447-nucleotide ribosomal RNA is filed under the name uncultured bacterium. RNAcentral's name for it is "bacterial SSU rRNA". It matches the Rfam family "Bacterial small subunit ribosomal RNA", at positions 356 to 795 of the family's 1533-position model. The record is from RNAcentral.